CACACAGAUCUGGGGGCGAGAAGACCUUUGCGGUGGGGCGCUGCAGUGGAGGGGUUUGCUCAGCAUCCGCUGCGUGACCCUGCCCGGCACCGGGCUGAAUAUUUGCAGCUCUGUCCGUGGGAGAGCAGGCAGGGGAGCACCUCUGGCUUCGAGAUUUGAUCAGGAGAGAUGGAGAGAGCAACUGGGCCGUGUCUCCUGCCACCCCUGCAGACACCCGUCUUGCUGCGGCUGCUUUCCUCCCUCGCUCGCUGCAGCUCCUCUCCGUGAGCCCGAGGGUUGCGCUCAGCCCAAAUUUCUUUUCAAGCCUCCAGAUGGCUGAAUUGCAGGCGUUCUGCCCAGGUGGAGCGACCCGUGCCGUAGCCAAGAUGUGGCCGUCCGUGUCCAUCCUGUGCAUCCUGGUGGCCUUGGCCAAUGCCCGCAGCAUUCCUUACUACCCACCACUCUCCAGCGACCUGGUCAACCACAUCAACAAGCUCAAUACCACCUGGAAGGCAGGACACAACUUCCACAACACUGAUAUGAGCUACGUGAAGAAGCUCUGUGGCACCUUCCUAGGUGGGCCUAAGCUCCCUGAGAGGGUUGAUUUUGCUGCAGAUCUGGACUUGCCAGAUAACUUCGACUCACGGAAGCAGUGGCCCAACUGUCCCACCAUCAGCGAGAUAAGAGACCAGGGCUCCUGUGGCUCUUGCUGGGCCUUUGGUGCUGUAGAAGCCAUUUCAGACAGGAUCUGUGUCCACACAAAUGCCAAGGUGAGCGUGGAGGUGUCGGCAGAGGACUUGCUGUCGUGCUGCGGCUUCGAGUGUGGCAUGGGGUGCAAUGGUGGUUACCCCUCCGGUGCGUGGAGGUACUGGACAGAGCGGGGCCUCGUGUCCGGGGGCCUCUACGACUCCCACGUGGGCUGCCGUCCCUACUCCAUCCCACCCUGUGAGCACCACGUCAAUGGCUCCCGGCCACCGUGCACUGGGGAGGGAGGAGAAACCCCCAGGUGCAGCCGGCACUGCGAGCCUGGCUACUCGCCCUCGUACAAGGAGGACAAGCACUACGGCAUCACAUCCUAUGGCGUCCCUCACAGUGAGAAGGAAAUCAUGGCUGAGAUCUACAAGAACGGACCGGUGGAAGGAGCCUUUAUUGUCUACGAGGACUUCCUGAUGUACAAGUCUGGGGUGUACCAGCACGUGUCCGGGGAGUAGGUCGGAGGCCACGCGAUCCGGAUCCUGGGCUGGGGGGUCAAAAACGGGACCCCCUACUGGCUGGCUGCUAACUCCUGGAACACCGACUGGGGGGAUAACGGCUUCUUCAAAAUCCUCCGAGGAGAGGACCACUGCGGCAUCGAGUCCGAAAUCGUGGCCGGCAUCCCCCGGACGGAGCAAUACUGGAAGAGGGUGUAACUGGCCUCGUGCAUCACUGCUGAGUUGAUCAAACCACAAAUAAUCCCGAGUCCCCGAUGCUUUUAACCGAUAGCGGGUUGGGCGCAGAGCCCCCACUCUAAGAGACGAUAGUUGAGGUUACUUUAUUAAAGCUUUUUAUCUUUUUUUUUUUUUUUUUUUUUUAUUAUUAUUUUUUAGUUGUAUGAUGGAGCUGGAGGUGGCAGGUCCUGUACUGGUGCCAGCUGCCGUCUGCAAGCCCUCUGCUCCUGGUGGGUCGCAGCCGGGGGCACUCCCUGCUCAAAGGACUGCUGGGGGGCUUGCUGGCCUCUUUGUGCCGUGGUCUUUGGCUAGCCCAGACCCCUUCCAGCCCAGUCUGUUACUGGGAGGGAGGGAAGCAGUAGCUUUGCGCUGGGAGCAGGGAUUUGGUGGGGCAGCAGAGACGGAGGCUGCUGGCAAAUCCAGGCAUGGCCGGUGCACCCCUGGCUGGGGCGGUCUGACUGUUAGCAGAGAGCGUGUGCCUUGUUGAAUUGGCUAAACGUAGUGCCAUUAGUGACAAAAUACUGAUGAACUUGAUGCGGGGCUGCCUACAGCCCCUCCUGCCUGUGACACGUCCUUUCUGCAUCGCUUGCUCUGCUCCAUUAUUUCGGCUGCUUUUUAAACCACUCAUUCCUCAGCUGCUGUUGUUUUUUAAUUAUGUUCUUUUUCUUUUUCUGCUGUAAUGUGGGGUUAUUGAUCCUAGGGAAGGGCCUGUCUGGAGCUCCAUGAGCUUUGAUCGAAUGUCCUGCAGCAUUCAGGAGCACGCUGGGAAGGGCAAACUGCUUUUGGCCAGGGCUACGCAGCUCGGGCCAUGCCUUGGCAAGGGUGCUGCUGCGUGUUGCGAGCUGGUGUAGUACUUUGGGACUGCAGAUGAUGUUCUCCAGGUCUGCCACAGGGAGCUCAUGCAGAUGCUUGGAGGUAUCUGGCGAACUUGCACGCAACUGAAGCUUUCUCUGAGCCACAGGUGGCAAGGAAGUAAAAGUAAUCUUAUUUUUGUUAUUGGGGGAAGUGUAAUAGCAGUGUAGGAGGAAUCAUGCGAUUUGCCAACACUAAUAUAGUGAAAGAGCUUUUGAUUUUCUUUUAAAGCACAAAGUAUAUUGCUGAGCUAAUGCUACAGGGCUGAAAUAAGUGAAGCAGGCUCUCCCUUGUACUGUAAAAUAGCCCCUCACCUCUGCCUACUGAACCAGUGAGACAGAGCUUUGGUGUGUGUGAAUGAAACAACCGUGCCAAUAAACGAUUUCUCCAA
RNA transcript from Cygnus olor (mute swan), 2649 nucleotides. It is a transcript of the gene named cathepsin B, with no coding region annotated. The record is from RefSeq and is a predicted model, not a curated record. NCBI's taxonomy places the organism in Eukaryota, Metazoa, Chordata, Aves, Anseriformes, Anatidae. The transcript is spliced from 10 exons.